GACGAACGCUGGCGGCAUGCCUAAUACAUGCAAGUCGAGCGAACAGAUGAAGUGCUUGCACUUCUGACGUUAGCGGCGAACGGGUGAGUAACACGUAAGGAAUCUACCUAUAAGCGGGGGAUAACAUUCGGAAACGGGUGCUAAUACCGCAUAAUAUCUUCUUCCGCAUGGAAGAAGAUUGAAAGACGGCUCUGCUGUCACUUAUAGAUGACCUUGCGGUGCAUUAGUUAGUUGGUGGGGUAACGGCCUACCAAGACGAUGAUGCAUAGCCGACCUGAGAGGGUGAUCGGCCACAUUGGGACUGAGACACGGCCCAAACUCCUACGGGAGGCAGCAGUAGGGAAUCUUCCGCAAUGGGCGAAAGCCUGACGGAGCAAUGCCGCGUGAGUGAAGAAGGCCUUCGGGUCGUAAAACUCUGUUAUAAGAGAAGAACAAAUUGUAGAGUAACUGCUACAGUCUUGACGGUAUCUUAUCAGAAAGCCACGGCUAACUACGUGCCAGCCGCCGCAGUAA
RNAcentral lists this ribosomal RNA (513 nucleotides) under uncultured bacterium. RNAcentral's name for it is "partial 16S ribosomal RNA". It matches the Rfam family "Bacterial small subunit ribosomal RNA", at positions 28 to 523 of the family's 1533-position model. The record is from RNAcentral.